This 93-nucleotide transfer RNA is filed under the name Verticillium dahliae VDG1. RNAcentral's name for it is "tRNA-Asn". It matches the Rfam family "tRNA". From Rfam's summary of the family: Transfer RNA (tRNA) molecules are approximately 80 nucleotides in length. Their secondary structure includes four short double-helical elements and three loops (D, anti-codon, and T loops). Lineage: Eukaryota; Fungi; Ascomycota; Sordariomycetes; Glomerellales; Plectosphaerellaceae. The record is from RNAcentral.
UCCCUGGUGGCCCAGCUGGUUAAGGCGUCCGACUGUUAAGACAAAAAAACUUGGCAAAUCGGGAGAUCGACAGUUCGAUCCUGUCUCGGGGAG